UACAGAGGGUGCAAGCGUUAAUCGGAAUUACUGGGCGUAAAGCGUGCGUAGACGGUUGCGUAAGUCAGAUGUGAAAGCCCCGGGCUCAACCUGGGAAUUGCAUUUGAGACUGCGUAGCUAGGGUGCGGAAGAGGGAAGCGGAAUUUCCGGUGUAGCGGUGAAAUGCGUAGAUAUCGGAAGGAACAUCAGUGGCGAAAGCGGCUUCCUGGACCAGUACCGACGUUCAGGCACGAAAGCGUGGGGAGCAAACAGG
This 253-nucleotide ribosomal RNA is filed under the name uncultured bacterium. RNAcentral's name for it is "partial 16S ribosomal RNA". It matches the Rfam family "Bacterial small subunit ribosomal RNA", at positions 524 to 776 of the family's 1533-position model. The record is from RNAcentral.